GUAGGGUAACGGCCUACCAAGGCUAAGACGGGUAGCUGGUCUGAGGGGAUGAUCAGCCACACUGGCACUGAAACACGGGCCAGACUCCUACGGGAGGCAGCAGUGGGGAAUAUUGGACAAUGGGCGCAAGCCUGAUCCAGCCACGCCGCGUGAGUGAUGAAGGCCUUCGGGUUGUAAAGCUCUGUGGGGAGGGACGAAAAAGGUAGGGAACAAUACCCCUGCCCUUGACGGUACCUCCUUAGCAAGCACCGGCUAACUCUGUGCCAGCAGCCGCGGUAAGACAGAGGGUGCAAACGUUGCUCGGAAUUACUGGGCGUAAAGGGCGUGUAGACGGACUCGCAAGUCGGAUGUGAAAUCCCUGGGCUCAACCUAGGAACUGCAUCCGAAACUGCGAGUCUCGAGUGCCGGAGAGGGAAGCGGAAUUCCUGGUGUAGAGGUGAAAUUCGUAGAUAUCAGGAGGAACACCGGUGGCGAAGGCGGCUUCCUGGACGGUUACUGACGCUGAGACGCGAAAGCGUAGGGAGCAAACAGGAUUAGAUACCCUGGUAGUCCACGCUGUAAACGAUGGGUGCUAGGUGCUGCGGGUUUUGACCCCUGCGGUGCCGUAGCUAACGCGUUAAGCA
This 623-nucleotide ribosomal RNA is filed under the name uncultured Actinobacteridae bacterium. Its description in RNAcentral is "bacterial SSU rRNA". It matches the Rfam family "Bacterial small subunit ribosomal RNA", at positions 252 to 866 of the family's 1533-position model. The record is from RNAcentral. Lineage: Bacteria; Bacillati; Actinomycetota; Actinomycetes.